Molecule: ribosomal RNA, 251 nt
Filed under: uncultured bacterium
Lineage: Bacteria
Description: partial 16S ribosomal RNA
Rfam family: Bacterial small subunit ribosomal RNA
Source: RNAcentral
UACGGAGGGGCUAGCGUUGUUCGGAAUUACUGGCGUAAAGCGCACGUAGGCGGCUUUGCAAGUCAGAGGUGAAAGCCCGGGGCUCAACCCCGGAAUUGCCUUUGAGACUGCAUCGCUAGAAUUGUGGAGAGGUAAGUGGAAUUCCGAGUGUAGAGGUGAAAUUCGUAGAUAUUCGGAAGAACACCAGUGGCGAAGGCGACUUACUGGACACAUAUUGACGCUGAGGUGCGAAAGCGUGGGGAGCAAACAGG